This 253-nucleotide ribosomal RNA is filed under the name uncultured bacterium. RNAcentral's name for it is "partial 16S ribosomal RNA". It matches the Rfam family "Bacterial small subunit ribosomal RNA", at positions 524 to 776 of the family's 1533-position model. The record is from RNAcentral.
UACGGGGGGGGCAAGCGUUGUUCGGAAUUACUGGGCGUAAAGGGCUUGUAGGCGGCCAACUAAGUCCGACGUGAAAUCCCCGGGCUUAACCUGGGAACUGCGCUUGUAACUGGCAAGCUAGAGUGUGGCAGAGGGGGGUGGAAUUCCACGUGUAGCAGUGAAAUGCGUAGAGAUGUGGAGGAACACCGAUGGCGAAGGCAGCCCCCUGGGCUAACACUGACGCUCAUGCACGAAAGCGUGGGGAGCAAACAGG